This 315-nucleotide ribosomal RNA is filed under the name uncultured soil bacterium. RNAcentral's name for it is "bacterial SSU rRNA". It matches the Rfam family "Bacterial small subunit ribosomal RNA", at positions 26 to 337 of the family's 1533-position model. The record is from RNAcentral.
AGAGUGAACGCUGGCGGUAGGCCUAACACAUGCAAGUCGAACGGCAGCACAGGAGAGCUUGCUCUCUGGGUGGCGAGUGGCGGACGGGUGAGGAAUACAUCGGAAUCUACCUUUUCGUGGGGGAUAACGUAGGGAAACUUACGCUAAUACCGCAUAAGACCUUCGGGUGAAAGCCGGGGACCUUCGGGCCUGGCGCGGAUAGAUGAGCCGAUGUCGGAUUAGCUUGUUGGCGGGGUAAAAGCCCACCAAGGCGACGAUCCGUAGCUGGUCUGAGAGGAUGAUCAGCCACACUGGAACUGAGACACGGUCCAGACU